This 253-nucleotide ribosomal RNA is filed under the name uncultured bacterium. Its description in RNAcentral is "partial 16S ribosomal RNA". It matches the Rfam family "Bacterial small subunit ribosomal RNA", at positions 524 to 776 of the family's 1533-position model. The record is from RNAcentral.
UACGAAGGGGGCUAGCGUUGCUCGGAAUCACUGGGCGUAAAGGGUGCGUAGGCGGGUCUUUAAGUCAGGGGUGAAAUCCUGGAGCUCAACUCCAGAACUGCCUUUGAUACUGAGGAUCUUGAGUUCGGGAGAGGUGAGUGGAACUGCGAGUGUAGAGGUGAAAUUCGUAGAUAUUCGCAAGAACACCAGUGGCGAAGGCGGCUCACUGGCCCGACACUGACGCUGAGGCACGAAAGCGUGGGGAGCAAACAGG